This 1237-nucleotide long non-coding RNA is filed under the name Ovis aries (sheep). RNAcentral's name for it is "lncRNA (ENSOARG00000027038.1)". Lineage: Eukaryota; Metazoa; Chordata; Mammalia; Artiodactyla; Bovidae. The record is from RNAcentral.
UCAAUUUGUCAGAGAACUCAAAAGUCAUCUUUUCUAGCCCAUCCAGGUGGGAUUAAAAAACUUUUAGGCAAAAAGUGCAGGUAAGUGAUUGCCAGGAACUCAUCUUUGCUUGUCCAUUUCAGCAUGGUCUACUCUACAAGGUGUGAGACAUUUCUAUCUUGACCACAUUCAGUCCAAAGGCCCUCACUAUGCAUGGAAGAAACAAAACGAUAUAAAACAGUUCUUAUUCCUAGGAGCAGACAACUUACUUGGGGAAAACUCAUGAAUCAGAUCACAAGGAGGUAAUGGCUUGACGAUUUUCAGCUUCAACCCAGUAAUCAAGGAACUACCCUUCCUCUUACACUAGGGGGUGCGUGAGGACUAAGAUUCAGAAUCUUCUCGGCCAUCUUCUCCACAGUGAUUUGUGUCAGCUACUGCCCCCUUUCUUCAGAACUGGUUUUCCAGUGUCAUGACUUGGAAGAGGGAAAAGAAUUCCCGGAAACCUCCCCUACCUCACAAACCAGGCAUGUCCUCCACCGGGUUGCUCUGCCCUCUUCACCACGGGACAGGCACACCCUGACCUACCCACAGGGCGCAGCAUUUCUGGGGCAUCCUGCCCGGAACUGGGGACCCACAGAAGAAAAGAGAAGCACUGCUUUAAACACAGGACAGAUAUUACGAAGCAGCAUUUCUUAUAGAAGAAAAAGAAUACGAUGAUGCAAGAAACAUAAAAAGAAAAAAAGACCCAAAGCUAAAUAGUGCACUCAAUAGACACACAGUAAAUGCAGAUGGAUCACCAACAGUAGACUGGAGGCAUGCCUGUCACAGAAUAGGCUUCUUUUCCAUACAUUUAGAAAUUCAGGACUAGCUUCCUCAUCAUCAAUUUCUUGUGCAUUACUGUAUGAGCCACAUUCAUGGCACAGCCCCUUGGGUCCUAAAACACUCUGUCUUCAGCUUUGCUCUGUGUGAAGAGAGAAUUUCCACUCAGCUGAUUUGUCUGUGAACAAAUGAACAGGGCAUCGUUAGCAGCUCCUUGGUUAUAUUUUCUUUAGAUAGUCAAGAAGCAUAGUUCUUUCCUCCCAUCACAUGGGCUUUCAUUUCAUGAUGUAUUUUAUUGACAUCAAACAGAAAAAGAAGUUAGAUGACGUAUAUACUGUGUGUUCAUCCCCAAAUCUCUUCUCCCAUUUAUCCCUAGGAGAACACUGAAAUUGCCCAGUUAACUUCCCUGAGGCCAGAGACCCCUCAAGGGUUCCUCCGC